This 961-nucleotide long non-coding RNA is filed under the name Papio anubis (olive baboon). RNAcentral describes it as "lncRNA (ENSPANG00000041362.1)". Lineage: Eukaryota; Metazoa; Chordata; Mammalia; Primates; Cercopithecidae. The record is from RNAcentral.
AUGGCCUCUCAGGGCUGGCCCCUCGUCCACAUUAGCAGUACCUUUUCAUUUCCCUCAACCGUGGGCAGAUCUACCCGACCCUCAGCUUCCUCCUCCACCGCACGAGCAGCCUUUCCCUCCCUGAGCCACUUACUUCACCCACCCAUAUCUGCACUUGCAGUUCCCACGGCGCACAGCCGCAAGCCACUCCAAAGGUUUCAUUGCCGAGUUGGGGGUGGCGUGUGCAAGGAUGGACUGACUCCCAUAGCGCUGGACGAAGCUUCAGGGGUGGCCGCAGCCAUCCUCCACGUCCCACCUCUCUUAUUUCACCUUCCCUGUCCCUACCGAGCUCCUAGAGGCAGGAUGAGCACUGCUGGGUCCCAAACCCUCGCCUCAGGAGCCAGAGCUGCGGGGAGUGAAAAGUCGACUGGCAAAAACACACAGAGAGAAAUGGGCAGAUGCAUAUGGCAAGAGGGGCUGGGGGAAGGGCGAAUGCAAGAACUAAACCUGCAACUUGCACAGCACGGGGUGAGCACCGCGCAGGGAAGGGUCACAAAAGUUUGCAGACUAUUGUAUAGCAGCCGGCUGAACAGGAGCAAAGAGGGUCGACUGUAUCUCUCCAGGAGGAGGUCUCUCCCAGGGUCUGCGCAAAAGGGAUCGGGGGGCUUAGAAAGGCAUGGCUUAGAACUGAGCAUUUUACUGGGAGAUCAUCAGUGGGAGCGGUUCAGUGUUCUGAUGUCUGCUCCGAGGAAAGCUUUAGAGAACACAGGAAGAAGGAGUGAAACAGAGGGCAGAUUCCUCCAACAUGGGCACGGAUGCUGUUGCUCUGUUAUGAUGUUCACACAGACACAGAGAAACCAACCGAAGGCUAGUCUCAGUGGCUGAAAGGCAGUAAAAAGGCUCUGGAGUUCUCACUAUUAAAGCCUCCUACCAUAUUUAAGGAUGGCCUUGAUGAUGAAGCAUUAGCAUGCAGGAUGGAUUG